This is a long non-coding RNA of Myotis brandtii (Brandt's bat), 242 nucleotides long. RefSeq lists it as uncharacterized. The transcript has 2 exons. NCBI's taxonomy places the organism in Eukaryota, Metazoa, Chordata, Mammalia, Chiroptera, Vespertilionidae. The record is from RefSeq and is a predicted model, not a curated record.
CGCGUGGACCCACCCACUUGGGCUUCGCAAUAAACUCCGCGGCGCGAUCCCGGUGGUGGUGAUCUUCGCUUUGAAGUGGUGUUCUCUUAAGUGAGAUGUGGAACAAUGGGCUCACUUUCUCCUGUCGACCUAGAUCGGCACUGUGAAGAAGCAAGGAAGCCCGAAUGGGAAACAUAGUUUCAAAGAAAACAUUCUAAGAUACCACAUCCAGUUCAUAAAUAAAGCAUCUUAAUACCUCACAA